Spea bombifrons (plains spadefoot toad) is the source of this 1182-nucleotide long non-coding RNA. RefSeq lists it as uncharacterized. The record is from RefSeq and is a predicted model, not a curated record. The transcript is spliced from 2 exons. NCBI's taxonomy places the organism in Eukaryota, Metazoa, Chordata, Amphibia, Anura, Pelobatidae.
UUCUUCUCCAAUUAAUUGCACGUGCAAAUGGUUUUAUGUUCUGGGGGCCACAUCAAUUCUUUACAUAUUACCCAAUCAUAUUGUAUGUUUAUUAAUAAUACUGGAUUAGGGGUUUUUGGGUAGUGAGGGUUUUUAUUUGAAUCAUUUCUUUAACGUGCAGUCAGGGGUGAGUAUAGAGUUACUGGCACCUGGGAGCAGGAUUACUUUGGCGCCCCCUCCUGGCAAGUAGCCUACAAACUAAAACACACUAACAUGCAAACCCACUCUAACACCCGCACACACACACGUUUAUCCUUCUCUUAAUCUAAAUUUCUCUUCUUUGUCUUUUUAUCUCUCCCCUUUGUCUCCAUUCUAUCUCCAUCUCAUUAUUGCUCUUCUUUCUCCCCAUCUCUCCUCUUAUUCAGAAUCAUUAUUAUAUUUGGCACCUUCAUCUUUCCAUUGCCUCUCCCCCCAGUAACUCACACAUGCACUGGCACACAUUUCUACACACACUCUCGCAUGUGCACAGAUGUACACACUCACACCGACACACACUUUACUAAUGUGCACUUACACAAAGACAUACAUGCUCACACACAAACACACUGGUGCUUAAACACAAACAUACACAUCUGUGCUCACAUACUUCCACAUCCAUGCUCACACACACAUCCAUGCUCACACAUACACACCUGUGCUUACAUACACACACGCAUACAUAUAAAUGCUGACACUUACACAUACACAUCUGUGUUCACACAUACGUGCUCACAAACACACAUACAUACAUACAUGCAUGCUCACAUACACUUUUCCUCCUUCCCCCUACCUGUCUCCCUCCUUCCCUUACUCAACCCCUUCGCUUAACAGAUUUUCUUGACUGCUUACAUGCUGUCUGAGAAGCCACACGUUUCACCACAGGGUCACGUAACGCCAGGUCACGUGACACCUCAGCUAAAUGCGAGGCAGCACGCACAGCGUACGAGCAGCCAAGAAAAUCCGUUCCUUCUCAGGAGGAAUGGCGAAUCGCAUCAGUGCCAGGCUCCAGGAAAUGGGGGUUUUCGAUUGGCUUAAACAAUCUCAAAUUCAGGUCCAUGGCAUUGCUGUCUCGCUACUCCUGCUUCCCUGGGCACCAUGCAAAGGUAAGAAUCCAUCAAUUCCAGAAACAAUCGCUGUCUCCUCAAAAUAAACAAAUCAAAAUAA